This 253-nucleotide ribosomal RNA is filed under the name uncultured bacterium. RNAcentral's name for it is "partial 16S ribosomal RNA". It matches the Rfam family "Bacterial small subunit ribosomal RNA", at positions 524 to 776 of the family's 1533-position model. The record is from RNAcentral.
UACGGAGGGUGCAAGCGUUAUUCGGAAUUACUGGGCGUAAAGCGCGUGCAGGCGGGUGGAUAAGUCUGAUGUGAAAGCCCUGGGCUUAACCCGGGAAGUGCAUUGGAAACUGUUCAUCUUGAGUACUGGAGAGGAAGGGAGAAUUCCCGGUGUAGAGGUGAAAUUCGUAGAGAUCGGGAGGAACACCAGUGGCGAAGGCGCCCUUCUGGACGGUUACUGACGCUGAGACGCGAAAGCGUGGGGAGCAAACAGG